Molecule: ribosomal RNA, 446 nt
Filed under: uncultured bacterium
Lineage: Bacteria
Description: partial 16S ribosomal RNA
Rfam family: Bacterial small subunit ribosomal RNA
Source: RNAcentral
CCUACGGGAGGCAGCAGUCGAGAAUCAUUCACAAUGGGGGAAACCCUGAUGGUGCGACGCCGCGUGGGGGAAUGAAGGUCUUCGGAUUGUAAACCCCUGUCAUGUGGGCGCAAAUUAAAAAGAUAGUACCACAAGAGGAAGCGACGGCUAACUCUGUGCCAGCAGCCGCGGUAAUACAGAGGUCUCAAGCGUUGUUCGGAAUCACUGGGCGUAAAGCGUGCGUAGGCUGUUUCGUAAGUCGUGUGUGAAAGGUGCGGGCUCAACCCGCGGACGGCACAUGAUACUGCGAGACUAGAGUAAUGGAGGGGGAGACGGAAUUCGCGGUGUAGCAGUGAAAUGCGUAGAUAUCGAGAGGAACACUCGUGGCGAAGGCGGGUUCCUGGACAUUAACUGACGCUGAGGCACGAAGGCCAGGGGAGCGAAAGGGAUUAGAUACCCUGGUAGUC